CAGACAAAAUCUGUGAAGAGAUAUCAAGAGGCAGAUAUUCACAUUUUAUUACAUAAUGAAAAGGUCCAAACCUCCAGAUGCACAAGAAAGAAAACGGAGAAAAGAGGAGGAGGAAAAGAAAGUCCAAUAUAGAGGUAUGUCGUCUAAUGUUAACAUAGCUAGCUAAGUAGCAAUAAAGCUAAUGCUAGAUAAUGAUGCUACGAUAGCUGCUGGACUCACAUAUCGUUACAGAUUGAAGGAUAUGAGACUGAAUGACAAGCCAGUAGCGAGCUAUCUGGAUAACUGCUCCUUCCUACAACGUAAGGCUUUGUGCUGAAAUUUCACUGACCAAUAUCAGUGAUAAUGGCUAACGCUAUAUCUAUAAAAACAUAGAUUUCUGCACUGGGUUGCACCAACUAUGUGUAAGCUGGCAUGAGCCACUUGGCAUCGUAGCACAUUGUAGUAAACUGGAUCAAUAGUGAAAUAUCAUAUCAAUAAAUUAGGUCUCUACUGGAUUACUGUGUUGCUAAAUGGCAGCAAUUAGAGUUAUGUUGUAACUUAUCUCCGUGGUGAAAGCUUUUAUUUUAGUGAUGCAUAAAUCACAACUUAGUGACAAUAAUUUACGUUAUAACUAAGUUUGAACUGACACACAGCUGGUGCAACAGGCUGCAGCAGUUGUUUGUCUACUCUGAAGCUACAUGUUUUUGCUUGUAACAGGCUGAUAUCUACUCUAUAACUGUCCAGAUGCACUCAGGAAAUAUCUGCAGAAGCCUCCAGCUGCUGGAGAAGUUACAUCUGAUCUCCCAUCUACACCACUCUCUGAAGCAGAUUUAACUGCAGGUGAAGCAACAACAGACACAACAGACACUUCUACUACUCUACAGCCUGCAGACACCAUCAACUGGAACAGAUCCUGAAGUAUGUGAGUCCAUCAAGGCAGCAGCUAUAGAUCCUGCUGACUGGCAGCCCUGUCUGAUAUGGUGAGGACAAAGAUAGUCAGCAGAGGCCAUAUCAGCUAAAAUAAAACUGUACAUUUACAAAAUGAGAGGAUGGGAGAAGUUCCCAUCACCACCACUUCUACAGAAAAUAAGUGAAUGGAGAGAAAAUCAAGAGAAGUUGGUUGGGUAUAUUCCAAGAAAAAAUUUUAAAAAGUCUUUACUGCUUCUGCUGCAACCUGUUCUCACAAAAAAACUACAAACUAAUCAGUAAUUGAUUUAAUGACUGGAAAAAUUGCAGUGAAAUACUCAAAACCCACGAGAACAGUCCAGGGAUCUCAUUUGUUGAGUAAGCAGGAACGGGGCCUGAAAGAGGCGUACGCCACUUCCCAAGCAAAAGUUGUGAUCUAUAAAAACAAACUUGAUGGGACAAUGUGCGCACCUGCACCUAAACUCUUACCCAUGCGUAGGAACAUUUUAGAGACAGGGGAAAUCCACGACGCAGAAUUGAAGUGAAUUGAAGGCAGAUUGUAUAAUAAUCCUCUCACACAUUUCAUUUCACUUAAUAUCAAACAUCAAUUAUAGAUCCACAUUAUCAGAAACACUCAAACCAGCAGUGUUAUCUGUACUUUGGCUUGUAGUGAGCCAUAACUUCCAUAAACAUCUUUCAAUUUGUAAAGAUAUAAAGCAACUCAGAUGUUAAAGUCUGCCCAACAUUUCAUCAGUGCUGCCUCACCCGGAGCACAAAGGAGAGAGUCAGUUGUGGAGCAGCAGCAGCUGAAAUGAAUGAUGUCAGGAUGUGGCAGGUGGCAGGAUUCUGCAAAGUCUGGGUUGCCUUUCUCCAAUAUUAGCUAAGCAUGAAAAUACUGAUUGAUUUUCACCUUAGCCACGUUAACUUACUGAUGAAAUGAUCAUCAUUGAUUGUAGAAAUCCAAGAUGACAUCAAAUAACUUCAACAAACAGAACUAAAACAUAUUUACAGGAGAGAGUGAUUGGUGCGGCGAAAGAAACACAUGUACAUGAAUAUUCAUGAAGGCUUUUGCAUCGACCAUUUAUGGUUGAAUGUGGGCGUGUAGAGGGCGGGAUAUGACGCUGAUCCAUGAGCGCACAUUUCCAGGUGGACUGUGAUUUAUAAAGGGAAAUAUACGUGCAUUCGUGUGUACGCAUGGUUUUAUAAAUCUGAUUAUUUUUCGGUGCACGCCAUUUUCGGCUUUUAUGCGCACGUACAAUUUUAGUAUGGAUCCUACACAAUGUUUUAUAAAUGAAACCCCAGAACAUUGUGGGCACAUGACAUCAUGGAAGGAGUCAUCUAUCCAGUGUAAUCUAUCAAUAACCAAGUGCCAGCGUCUUGGAUGUUACUAACAGGUAAAGGUAGUUAAUAAUAGUAAUAUUUAACAAUUGAUUCAUUCUGUGAAACGUGAUUUGUUUGUUUGAAAAGUAAUUGUAAUUUAUAAGAAUCUAUAUUUUUGUCUUGAAACCAUUGUGGUGUCUGAUGUUUGUUGUCCAUAUUUUUACUGUAGAAUGAGCGGGUGUGUCAUGGACUCAUGGUUUGGGCUCUUUGUGUUUUUUCUUCUUUUGGUUUUCUGUGUUACACUUGUGUUGUCCAGUCUUUUUGCUCAUUCAUGUUAUUUGAGUUGUAUCUUUGAAAGACUGUAUUAGAUUAUUGGUUAGCUUGUAGUGCUGUGUACCUAGGUUGAUUUAUUCAGAGACACUUUGAUUUAUGCUGGCUUGUUAUUGAGUGCUGUUGUGUUUUCUGGGUUUUACUUUGCUCUGUGUUUCUCUUGUGUGUUCCUUCACUCCUCCUGUUUUCAUGUGCUCCUCCUCUCACCUGCCCUGCAGUAGCCUCGUGGGUCCUGCCCUGCUCCUAGUGUCUUCCCCAGCCUAUCAGCUCCCAGCCUGCCCUUGUAUUGUGCCACCUGUUCCUUGUUGUCUGAUUACUUCAGUUUGUAUUUAAGUUCAGUUUUCAGUUCAGUCUUUGUCGAGUCGUCUGUUCAGUUAGUCAAUUCUGUUCUGUCGUGUUUGCUCAGUUUCCUGCUCAGUCGAUUUUUUUGUGUAUCUUGUUCUACUCAGCUCAUCCUGCUUUUGUUUUUUUCCUGCCAGUCGUUGAAAUAAAGACGCUUUUCUUCA
Molecule: long non-coding RNA, 3041 nt
Organism: Thunnus maccoyii (southern bluefin tuna)
Lineage: Eukaryota; Metazoa; Chordata; Actinopteri; Scombriformes; Scombridae
Exons: 2
Source: RefSeq, a predicted model, not a curated record